CCAAACCCAAUGCAAUAAACUGGGGGUUCGGGAGGUGGGAAGCAGGGGCAGGGCAUGUGGCGUACCUUCAUUCCUCCAAAACCCCUUCCCCUUGUGCCCGCCCCCCCCCCUGCCUCUCCCACCUCCUGCAGCUACCACCUGGCCUGCUGGGUGAAGGUGCCGGUGGUGGCGGCGCUGCUGAGGGCACUGCCGCCGCCGCCCGACCCCGGGCAGCAGCCGGCGGCGGCGGCGGAGUGGGCGGCGGGCGGCGGCGGGGGGCUGCAGGGCGUGUUCCUGUCCGACCAUGACGUGGUGAGCAGGGAGGGGAGGGGAGAGGAGAGGGAGGGAGGGAAGUGGAGAGAGAGGGCUUCGUGCCAGAGCCCAACGACAAGAGGGAGGGAGGGAGGGAGGGAGGGAGGGAGGGAGGGAGGGAGACAGUGGUGAGGUGUAGUCCAGUCCGGGUGUGUGGGGCAAAUGGACUUUGGUGAGGAAGGGGGCAAAAGAAGGGGGGGCGAUAGGAGCGGCGCGGGCGGAAGGGGCGAAUUGCAUCGCCCACGUGCCCAUGCCGCCACGUGGCCACGUGUCGCGGGAGCCUGCACAUGCGGCGGCAGCGGCCAUAGACCCGCUGGAGCUCAAUGCAAGCGGGGCUGCGAUUGACCAACGGUGUGCAGCGGCCCAAGCCGACACACGGCAGCGGGGUGCGCAGCAUGGGGACAGCCCACACGCCGCCCCCACAGAGCGGAUCCAUGUGUGGGUGGGUGUAUGGUACUGCAUGGAACCCAACGGCGCUGUUCCCCUCUUUCCUCACCCGGCCAACACCCACCCACCCGCCCGCCCACCUGCCCGCCCCCCUCAUACACAGGUGUACCUGAAGCGUGUCCCCGACACCCUGGACGCCUUCUUUUUUGGAUCCAAAUUCAGCAGCAACAGCAGCCAUCCACCAGAUCCGGAUCCUGCAGCCGCCACCGCCGCCCCGCCGUACGACGUGACCGCCAUGGGCGAGCACGGCGGCAUCAACAGCGGCGUGGUUGCGGCGCGCAACACGCCUGCCGUACACGCAAUGUACGACGCCUGGUCCCGCCUGAUCACGUCCCGUGACUCGGACCAGGGGCAGCACCUCGAGCUGCGGGGGAAGCACUGGGUGCCGUGUCGGGCGCGGGGCGACUGCCCGGGCGCGGGGCCGACCGUGGCAGCCCUGGCCAGGCACAACCCGCCCUGGGGCAAGGGCCGCAUCUGCCCGCCCGUUGACCGGUCAAACCACACCCACUGGGUCUGGUACGACGGCAAGGGCGAGGUACGGGACCACUGUGCCGUACGGGAGCGGCUGUACGCGCACAUGAUCUGUCUGGGCGGUUCGGAGAAGCUGCGCGCAGCCAAGGCCCUGGGGCUGUGGUUCCUGGAUGAAACCGACCCAUGGGUGACCAAUGAGGCCGCCAUUGCGGCCGCCGGCCUGCCGUGCGCGCCGCCGAGUGACGUGGCGCGGCUGUACGUCAUGCAGCCGGCGCCGCCGCCAGUGCCGCCGCCGCCACGGGGGCGGGGGAUCUAGGGAGCGGGGUGGCUGCGGCGGCGGUGGAAAGAGAGGCAAGGCGAAGGGGACGGAGGAGAAGUGGUGAAGACUGCUGGGGGCGCAUCCGAUGUAGCAGGAGGGCAGGCGGGUGGCAGUGGGUAGAUGUGGGGAAGUAGAUGGGGAGGGGGCGGUGCGCGUGAAGGGCAGCAGCCGGUAGCCAAACUGGAGGCAGGGUCUGACAAAGAAGAGGCAGGGGUGUAGGCAGGGGGCAGGGAAGAUUUGAUACACUCAGACGAGGAUGGCGCCGCGGCAGGGAGGAAGGCGGAGCGGGCGAGGAUGGGGUGGAAGAGCUAGUCGGCAGUUAAGGCGGAGGCGGAAGAGGAGUAGUGUGUGCUCACACAAAGUGUGUGUGAGGGGGGGGGCGCAUGGCGGGCACUGCACCGAAAGGUGUAAUGGAUGGAAGGACCAGGUAGUUGUGAGCAGUGAGCGACGGGUUAUGGCUGUAGUGUGGUGGGAGGCGCGUGGGCCGUGGACACCAGACGCGAGGGCUGUGGGGCUCUGACGCACACGGAGGAGGAGGCACCAAGGCACGGCGGCCUGGGCCCAGGGCGCGAUGCCACACGGUACUGAGAGUGCACUGACCAGGCGGGCGGGGAGGAGGGGCGGGCAGGCACCUACGCCCCCUGCUGCCCUUGUAACCCGACCGCCCGACCAGCACCACUGCACUGCCCGUGGCAAGGCCUGCUGUGGCACUCAUGUGCGCACUGCGUUCCCCCCCCCCCCACACACACACACAGCCACGCACAGCCAGCCAGCGGGCUGCGGCGAUACCUGGAACCGUGGCAACUGGCAGUCGACAUCUGUUGGCACCGCACCGCACGCCUGCGUCGUCUCACGCACUGGCGCACCGGCUCGGCGGCGAGGGCGGCGCCUGCCAGCGGCCGACCAAGUCCCAACCACCGCACGUCGGUCGCCAACCGCUGCAAAUCAGAGCCGACGAUGCGCGCUGACCCCGUGUCAUGUACGGGGCUCACGGCUGUUCUUAAGCGUGCGGGUCGCGAGGCUCGCGGCGUGUCGGGCGGCCCCUUGUCAGCGCUGCAACGCUCGGGCUCUGGAGCGGGCCGGCCCGCAAGUCGACAGGCCGUGGUGCCGGCUGGCCCUAGGGCCGCGCCCUGAUGCGAGCGCUCAGUUGCCGACUAGAAAACCCUUGCUGCGCUUCCCUACACAACAACAGCGCCGACCACAUCCUCGCUUGCUGUGCCACGCACCGAACUCGCUUCAAACCCGUGUCGGCACUUCUGAACACGCGCAUCGCCGGACCGCCGGUUGCUGACGCCACCCCCAGCCUUUAGGUAAAGUAUUCCACCACAUCCUGCUGAUGCGCUUGCUCGCUAGUCCAUCAGACUUCGAUAUCAUCCAGCGGUGGCGCGAAGCAGGAGCGCCCGUCGACAUGCGCGACUGCACUCGCACCAAGCUAGCGGCUGAGCCCAAGCCCAACAUCUAAUUGGCGCUGUUGCUGGGUAUGAAGUUAGCGCUACACUCAGCCCGAUGAAGAGUUUAUGACGAGCGACGGUUCAGAUGCGUUCCGGAGCUGGACCACCGUCACGCAGAGCCCCAACAAAGGCUCCACAUGUGCUAAUGCAAACAACAUGUAUCACUUGUAACCAGCAGCUUUGCCAAUGUGCAUGAUUUGGCUUAGCGAGGCAGUCGCAAGCCUGGCGCGUGGCGCAUUCUUGCAGCGCGCCAGCCCCCGCAGCUUUAGCGGUCCAUUGCAAGCUCAAUGGGCCACGUCGCAAUGCACCAGCGGGCGAGCGGACAGCGCACGCUGGCGCGCGACCGAUCGGGCGCGGGGUCGAUCGAGAUGGCCGGGUACGGCGAUCGGCGCGCGAGAUGGGACCAUGAACCCCUUCUUAAGCGACGCGCGCUCGUGAAAAUAUCGUGACCGGCUUCAACCAGUCCCCACACAUCAGUCAAAAUGGCCUUCGCUCUGUCCUUCUCCCGCAAGGCUCUGCAGGUGUGCAAGCUAGGGUCGCACAUCGCUUAGCGAAACAACUCACGUCACCUUUGUUGGGCUCAUGGGCCCUCGUGGAGCUUCGGGAGCUAACCUGCUGGCGAUGGCGUGUCUAUGUGCAGGUGUCCGCCAAGGCCACCGGCAAGAAGGGCACCGGCAAGACCGUGAGUGUUCCGGCAUGCGCGGGGCACGGGUUCGCGCUGGGCUUCAGUCUCAUGGAUCCCCUUGCGGGCUUGGGCUCAGUGGCAGUGUUCUAGUCAGCAGCGCCGCGGGGAUUCUUGAGUUAUUGCCACCGUUUGCGCCUGUGGCUUCGCACAUGGCAACCCGCUUAAGCAACCCUUCAACGCCUUAUGCGGAUCUUCACUUGCUGGACUCUAGGCAUGUUCUAGGUACAUCAUAUAUGCCAUGCAUUGACUACCAUAACUAAAUGCGCGCCCUCCUUCCUCUUUGCUUGCUCUUCAGGCUGCCAAGCAGGCCCCCGCCAGCUCCGGCAUUGAGUUCUACGGCCCCAACCGCGCCAAGUGGCUGGGUGAGUGCUGGGAUGGCGUAUGGGAUAGUGGAUCUGUGUAGCGACAGGCUCGCGACGGGACUUGUCGGCACAUGGUAGGUAUCCGUCGCUGAUCCUAUCGACGCUCGCGCUCGCAUACAUGAGCCAGUUGGCUUUGAGCAGCCAGCCUUGUUCCUGCCAGAAACCCAGCGCCCAUGUUGAAGCAUGCAUGCUGUCCAACACGUCGGCCUGACCUUGUCACCACCCCCCUUGUAGGCCCCUACUCCGAGAAUGCCACCCCCGCCUACCUGACUGGCGAGUUCCCCGGCGACUACGGCUGGGACACCGCCGGUCUGUCGGCUGACCCGGAGACCUUCAAGCGCUACCGCGAGCUGGAGCUGAUCCACGCCCGCUGGGCUAUGCUGGGCGCUCUGGGCUGCAUCACCCCCGAGCUGCUGGCCAAGAGCGGCACCCAGUUCGGCGAGGCUGUCUGGUUCAAGGCCGGCGCCCAGAUCUUCUCUGAGGGCGGCCUGGACUACCUGGGCAACCCCUCCCUGGUGCACGCCCAGAACAUCGUCGCCACCCUGGCCGUUCAGGUGAGGGGCUAUGGCAGGCGGAUGUGUGAAAGCCGGGUAUGCGAAGAAAGCUAUAUGCGCGAUGCUGUGGGAAGGGUGCAUGAUCUUGGUUGUGCACACAGCGCUCCAGCGUUGCCAGCGGGAGCCACCCAGCCAAAAGCACCGGCGCUACACGUCCUUGUACUCCCUACUUUCACCGCACUAACCGCACCCCUCUGCUUGCCCUGCUCCAUAGGUUAUCCUGAUGGGCCUGGUGGAGGGCUACCGUGUCAACGGCGGCCCCGCCGGCGAGGGCCUGGACCCCCUGUACCCCGGCGAGUCGUUCGACCCCCUGGGCCUGGCUGACGACCCCGACACCUUCGCUGAGCUGAAGGUGAAGGAGAUCAAGAACGGCCGCCUGGCCAUGUUCUCCAUGUUCGGCUUCUUCGUCCAGGCCAUCGUGACCGGCAAGGGCCCCAUCCAGAACCUGGACGACCACCUGUCCAACCCCACCGUGAACAACGCGUUCGCCUUCGCCACCAAGUUCACCCCCUCCGCGUAAAUUCUGUUCUCAUGACUUCAAUCAGUCAGUGAGCGGCAUUUGUUGCGUCUUUUUGAAAGCGUAAGAGCGGACGAAGUGUAUGAGGAGCAAGCGAGAUCGCGUCGCGUCGUGAUGGAGUUGAUGGUGUGAUGCAGGCGGAUGGAGGCGGAGAAUGAUGUGUGCCGUGUGUCGUUUACCUAGAGAAGACAAUUUUUAAACCGCAGCGUUUGUGGUUUACGCGGUCCCGUGGUGCGCGCAAAUGCGUAUGCCCCCCGUGUAAU
This 5360-nucleotide long non-coding RNA is filed under the name Chlamydomonas reinhardtii. RNAcentral's name for it is "long non-coding RNA (CREI_LNC000399)". Lineage: Eukaryota; Viridiplantae; Chlorophyta; Chlorophyceae; Chlamydomonadales; Chlamydomonadaceae. The record is from RNAcentral.